Molecule: non-coding RNA, 75 nt
Organism: Myotis davidii
Lineage: Eukaryota; Metazoa; Chordata; Mammalia; Chiroptera; Vespertilionidae
Source: Rfam
GGCAGUUUUCGGGUGACAUACCCCGGAAUCAGGCUCCCUCCUCUCUGGUUCCAGCUGUGGCACCCGAGAACCCCA